This is a small nucleolar RNA of Chiloscyllium plagiosum (whitespotted bambooshark), 81 nucleotides long. RefSeq annotates it as small nucleolar RNA SNORD103/SNORD85. The record is from RefSeq and is a predicted model, not a curated record. Lineage: Eukaryota; Metazoa; Chordata; Chondrichthyes; Orectolobiformes; Hemiscylliidae.
UCUGACAAUAAUGAGACACUUAUCUUCACUGUGAAGUGUUCGAUAAUGAGAAUUUUGCUAUUCUUAAAGAUCUAAGCCAGA